UCCAAAUUUAUGUUUUUUGAAAUAUUUUGCUAGUUUUACACGCAUUAAACCUAAAGCUUGUGCCGAAUCAGCAACAGCUGAACAUCUCCAGCUGGUCGACAAAGAC
Long non-coding RNA from Bradysia coprophila, 106 nucleotides. NCBI's taxonomy places the organism in Eukaryota, Metazoa, Arthropoda, Insecta, Diptera, Sciaridae. The record is from RefSeq and is a predicted model, not a curated record.